UCGACAGUAGGCCUGUUCGGAGAGAAG
This 27-nucleotide small RNA is filed under the name Bombyx mori (domestic silkworm). Its description in RNAcentral is "ovarian small RNA-28281". The record is from RNAcentral. Lineage: Eukaryota; Metazoa; Arthropoda; Insecta; Lepidoptera; Bombycidae.